Lynx canadensis (Canada lynx) is the source of this 103-nucleotide long non-coding RNA. RefSeq lists it as uncharacterized. NCBI's taxonomy places the organism in Eukaryota, Metazoa, Chordata, Mammalia, Carnivora, Felidae. The transcript has 3 exons. The record is from RefSeq and is a predicted model, not a curated record.
AAGGGAGUUCUCUCAGUGGAAAAGAAAGUACCAUGGUUAGAAGUAGGAAAAUUAUGAAAGGAAAAAAAUCUCCUGUGUAAUAGCAAACAUACAGUAAAGGCAG